RNAcentral lists this ribosomal RNA (384 nucleotides) under uncultured bacterium. RNAcentral describes it as "bacterial SSU rRNA". It matches the Rfam family "Bacterial small subunit ribosomal RNA", at positions 30 to 414 of the family's 1533-position model. The record is from RNAcentral.
AUUGAACGCUGGCGGCAGGCCUAACACAUGCAAGUCGAGCGGUAGAGAGGUGCUUGCAUCUCUUGAGAGCGGCGGACGGGUGAGUAAUGCCUAGGAAUCUGCCUGGUGGUGGGGGAUAACGUUCGGAAACGGACGCUAAUACCGCAUACGUCCUACGGGAGAAAGCGGGGGAUCUUCGGACCUCGCGCCAUUAGAUGAGCCUAGGUCGGAUUAGCUAGUUGGUGAGGUAAUGGCUCACCAAGGCGACGAUCCGUAACUGGUCUGAGAGGAUGAUCAGUCACACUGGAACUGAGACACGGUCCAGACUCCUACGGGAGGCAGCAGUGGGGAAUUUUGGACAAUGGGCGCAAGCCUGAUCCAGCAAUGCCGCGUGCAGGAUGAAGG